RNAcentral lists this ribosomal RNA (253 nucleotides) under uncultured bacterium. Its description in RNAcentral is "partial 16S ribosomal RNA". It matches the Rfam family "Bacterial small subunit ribosomal RNA", at positions 524 to 776 of the family's 1533-position model. The record is from RNAcentral.
UACGUAGGGUGCAAGCGUUGUCCGGAAUUAUUGGGCGUAAAGAGCUCGUAGGCGGUCUGUCGCGUCGGCUGUGAAAUCCCUCGGCUUAACCGGGGAACUGCGUCUGAUACUGGAUGGCUUGAGGUUGGGAGAGGGAUGCGGAAUUCCAGGUGUAGCGGUGAAAUGCGUAGAUAUCUGGAGGAACACCGGUGGCGAAAGCGGCUCACUGGACCACAACUGACGCUGAGGAGCGAAAGCGUGGGGAGCAAACAGG